GAGGGAACUUUAUUACUUCUUUAUUUUCGCUCUCUUUCUCACUCUCUCACGCCUCUGCCCUCCUCCAGCUCUCUCUCUCUCGCCUUUGUCUCCGUCGGCGUCAGUGGCGAGCUCGGAUGCCCCUUUCAUCGUCGCCCACAAGAAGGCCACUCUCACCAGGCUCAAGUCCGGUGUCGAAUGUGUCUUCGCUAUAACUAUAGCUCAAUUUAUCAUUUCGUGUUUGUAGAUAUGUUUUUAACUGCUGGACAUGUACUCGGUGUUGCCCACACAUUCAGAAAUUUGGCAUGGUUAGUUGGUAUUGCUUGAUUUUUCCUUUUUAACCAUAGUUUUAGGUUCGCUACCAUGAGUUUUGUGCAAGUGUGCUGUCACUCUGUUCACAUUGGGAAGCAAAAUACGUGCUUCAUUGAUUUAUAUAUGCUGUCUAGGGUUGUUCAUGGGUUGAGUUCACCAUUGUUCUGCUACCCAAACUGACUAUUUGGGUUACAUACCUGGUCACUUGAUUUCAGCGUUCUUGGUUUGUUGUGCCUAUCUGUGAUGAUGGUGGUGGUUGUGGUGGAUGUAGAGAAGCGAGUCUUAAGUAGAGAUAUGGCUUUGCCUUUGUGUUAAGGUUUUGAUUUGGUGUGAGUGUACCAUAUAUAAUUGCAAAACACCUAAAUUUGAUGGCAGUUUUAUGUUUUUAGAAGGCAAAUGAAACAAAGAAAGCCCCUUAUGAUAAUGAGAGACUCAUAUUUAUUAUCUGAUUAUUUAUCUUGGACAAUGGUAUCCUUGUUUGGUUAGACAAUAAUAAUAAUCUAUGCUCACCAUGCUAGCCCUUAAAGUUUUUUGCCCACCAAGUGUUUGAUUCUAUGCUCAAGUGACAAAUUUAUCAAACCACUGCAUAAUUAGCCAAGCCCCAUGGAACAUGGUCAUAAAAAAUUGGGAUAUAAUCUCACAGAGAAUAUUAAAAUU
Molecule: non-coding RNA, 948 nt
Organism: Camellia sinensis
Lineage: Eukaryota; Viridiplantae; Streptophyta; Magnoliopsida; Ericales; Theaceae
Source: RefSeq, a predicted model, not a curated record